GAAAAACAACCGCACAUCAUAAAAUUAUAAUACUUUAACUUUCAAAAUUUAUUGUUUAAGAAAAUUCAAUUACAUUUACAUAAAUACAUAAUGCUUUUAUGUAAACUAGCUUCAAUAACAUCUCAGCAUCGCAUUGAAGAAGAUUUGCACAUCCAUGCGGGCAGGGCUUUCAAGCGCUUAUCUGCCGCAAUACCUGUCAAUCGGACAGUGAAUGAAUUAUACGAAAUCAAAGCAGAAGAAAUCAAAGAAAUAGACAAAGCAAAGUUUGAUAACUAACAACAACACUUCCUUGUUUUGUACGAGUCUUCGAUAGCGUCUACGCAGUGCGGCUGAGCGUAUAAAUAACAAAUACUUGUAAAUUCCUUAGACAUUGUUUGUGUAGGCAGUGUUGUUGUUGGCGCUCGUAGAAGAACUUAUCACAAGAAUAAGUUAAAUAAGUUUUGAGGUACCGGAUUUUGCACAUGUCUCUUACUCUUCAAGAAGCUGCUCAUUUGUCGAAACCGCCGAUAUCGAACCACUAUAGGAUAUAGUUGUUAUACAAACUGACCGAUCAAAAUCAAGUUCUUGUGUGGAAAACUUUUGUAUUUGUCGAGAUAUCCUCAGGAAGAGUUAUUCAGGUCGGACCAUUAUAGCUAUCAAACGAACUGACCGAUCAAAAUCAAGAUGACAAGUACUGGAUUAGGGUAUGCCUUCCAAUAACUUUAUAAAAUUAUGAAUUUUGUACUAUUAGCUGCCUAUUUCGCUGCUCUCUGGAAGAGAUAAAAAAUGAAUAGAAGACGGAAACCGGACGGGGAUUCUUUUGAAGGAGAUAAGGAGAUUCGGCACAGAGGUUUGAAGAAACCGAAAGCAACUAUAAGUUAUCACAAGCAUCUCAUCUCACACAGCGCUGACUUGCUUCUUUGAUGAGAAUUAUCGUUUUUAACACGCAUAUUUAUAUCGCCCAAAAUAAUUUAUUUUCAUAUCCAAAUGAAAGGGUUUAUCUCUAGCUCAUUUCAAUAUUGCCAUACAGCAUUUUAUUCGAAAUUACAACAAACAUAUUGGCAUUUUUUCACUUAUGAAAAAUUCUAUUGCGCCGGCAGCAAUAAAUCAAAUGCGCGUUAAACGCCCACACAAGAAAAAAAUGAAA
This is a non-coding RNA of Bactrocera oleae (olive fruit fly), 1126 nucleotides long. NCBI's taxonomy places the organism in Eukaryota, Metazoa, Arthropoda, Insecta, Diptera, Tephritidae. The record is from RefSeq and is a predicted model, not a curated record.